Molecule: ribosomal RNA, 254 nt
Filed under: uncultured bacterium
Lineage: Bacteria
Description: partial 16S ribosomal RNA
Rfam family: Bacterial small subunit ribosomal RNA
Source: RNAcentral
UACAGAGGGGGGCAAGCGUUGUUCGGAAUUACUGGGCGUAAAGGGCGCGUAGGCGGCCUUCUAAGUCGAACGUGAAAUCCCCGGGCUCAACCCGGGAACUGCGUCCGAUACUGGAAGGCUUGAAUCCGGGAGAGGGAUGCGGAAUUCCAGGUGUAGCGGUGAAAUGCGUAGAUAUCAGGAGGAACACCGGUGGCGAAGGCGGGAUCCUGGGCCAGUACUGACGCUGAGGAGCGAAAGCGUGGGGAGCAAACAGG